Molecule: transfer RNA, 70 nt
Filed under: Orbus hercynius
Lineage: Bacteria; Pseudomonadati; Pseudomonadota; Gammaproteobacteria; Orbales; Orbaceae
Rfam family: tRNA
About the family: Transfer RNA (tRNA) molecules are approximately 80 nucleotides in length. Their secondary structure includes four short double-helical elements and three loops (D, anti-codon, and T loops).
Source: Rfam by way of RNAcentral
UAGCCGAGCGGUUGAAGGCACCGGUCUUGAAAACCGGCGAGGGGAAACCCUCCCAGAGUUCGAAUCUCUG